CUACGUUGAAGUGUUUGCAAGAUUCCUGCAUGAUGAACAGGCAAUGGAGCUGUUGUAAGCAAUGAGUGCUGAAGAAACAUUAACAUGACAUGCUCUACUGCUUGGGUGGAAGACGUUAAACCACGUUGAAUUAGGUCUAUUCAGAAUCUCCAGCUUCAAUCCACACAUAAAUUGCUUGAGGAGGUAUAUAACCAAAGUGACCAAUACAUUUCCAAGCAAGAUAGGGAUACCUGGAAGAUACUUCAUGAUGUUAAAGCGUCAUAAAAGUGGAAUCUGUUGUUGUAAUUCGAUAUCAGUGAAGGCCACCAGUACACUCAGUGUGACAUUAUCCUUGUAUUACCCUAUGGAAGAUUGCAGGAUUAAGCCAUUUUGCUUGACCUUUGAACAAUGAUGGUUUCUGCUUUGUACAGUGGAAGAAACAGAGAUGACAAGGCAUGCUAAAAUUUCAGAAUGUCCAAAAAGUCUGUGCGUCCUUGCCAGGGGCUUUACAGAAAUUCCGCAAAUGUAGACGAGCAAAGGACCUCUUGUUAACAGACUGUGUGUCAUCGAAGUGGUGGUUACUGAGACUGGUCAUCAAUGAGACUACUCUUUGAUUCAACCACAUUCUCGGAAGUUGAGCGUGUCAGGAUAUUUAUUUCAUGUUAUAGGAAUGAUCUUGGUCUCUUUGUUAGAGUUAUUUCCACAGGGACUGAACUCUAUGUGAGAAAACCAAACAAUGAAACAAAGCAAAUAGAAAAGGAGAUCAAUCUGUCUGUAACAUGCACAA
Non-coding RNA from Chiloscyllium plagiosum (whitespotted bambooshark), 766 nucleotides. The record is from RefSeq and is a predicted model, not a curated record. Lineage: Eukaryota; Metazoa; Chordata; Chondrichthyes; Orectolobiformes; Hemiscylliidae.